Molecule: unclassified non-coding RNA, 336 nt
Filed under: soil metagenome
Description: partial contains 5.8S ribosomal RNA, internal transcribed spacer 2, and large subunit ribosomal RNA
Rfam family: 5.8S ribosomal RNA (bases 1-120)
Source: RNAcentral
GAUGAAGAACGUAGUGAAAUGCGAUAAGUAAUGUGAAUUGCAGAAUUCAGUGAAUCAUCGAAUCUUUGAACGCACAUUGCGCCCGCCAGUAUUCUGGCGGGCAUGCCUGUUCGAGCGUCAUUUCAACCAUCAAGCCCCCGGCUUGUGUUGGGGACCUGCGGCUGCCGCAGGCCCUGAAAAGCAGUGGCGGGCUCGCUGUCACACCGAGCGUAGUAGCAUACAUCUCGCUCUGGGCGUGCUGCGGGUUCCGGCCGUUAAACCACCUUCAUAACCCAAGGUUGACCUCGGAUCAGGUAGGAAGACCCGCUGAACUUAAGCUUAUCAAUAAGCGGAGGA